RNAcentral lists this non-coding RNA (148 nucleotides) under Chlorocebus sabaeus (green monkey). Lineage: Eukaryota; Metazoa; Chordata; Mammalia; Primates; Cercopithecidae. The record is from Rfam by way of RNAcentral.
GCCAGGCAUGGUGAUGCAUGCCUGUAAUCCCAGCUACUCAGGAGGCUGAGGUGGGAGGAUCGCUUGAGCCCAGGAGGCAGAGGUUGCAGUGAGCUGAUGCAGUGCCAUUGCACUCCAGCCUGGGUGACACAGUAAGAUCCCGUCUCAA